RNAcentral lists this ribosomal RNA (169 nucleotides) under uncultured Clostridium sp. RNAcentral's name for it is "partial 16S ribosomal RNA". It matches the Rfam family "Bacterial small subunit ribosomal RNA", at positions 338 to 524 of the family's 1533-position model. RNAcentral also lists the same sequence under 1 other name. Lineage: Bacteria; Bacillati; Bacillota; Clostridia; Eubacteriales; Clostridiaceae. The record is from RNAcentral.
CCUACGGGAGGCAGCAGUGGGGAAUAUUGCACAAUGGGCGAAAGCCUGAUGCAGCAACGCCGCGUGAGUGAUGAAGGCCUUCGGGUUGUAAAGCUCUGUCUUCAGGGACGAUAAUGACGGUACCUGAGGAGGAAGCCACGGCUAACUACGUGCCAGCAGCCGCGGUAAU